AUAUGGCAUAUUUGGGCCGUCUCUUGAUGAUCUUCCUCUUUCGAACUUGACUCCUCACUUUCACUCCAUUCAGCCAUGAAGUUCUUCUUUUUAAGUUUUCUUGCCAUCCACUUUAAUUUCGGGCAAUCUAUCUUAUAAUGCCCGGGUUUGUUACACUCAUAACAAAUAGGUGUUUCUUUUUUCUUUUCUUUGUCCUUACCCUUUGAAGAAGGGUUUCUUUUUAUGAAAUCUAUUCUUACCUCUCAUAAAUUUUCUGAAUUUUCUUCCAAGCAUAGCCAUUCCUUCUUCAUCAAAUUCAUCAUCAUCAUCAGAAUCUUCCGACUCAGUUUGUUGUUUUGGAGUGGUAGACUUUAGGGCAAUGGUCUUUCUUCUCUUGACCUCAUCUUCUGAAUUUUGCCUCAUGGUCAACUCAUGGGUCAUGAGUGAUCCUAGAAGUUCCUCUAAUUGCAGUGUAUUGAGGUCCUUUGCUUCCUGAAUUGCAGUUACCUUGGCCUCCCAAACUCUUGGUAGAGACCUGAGAAUUUUUCGCACCAAUUCAAAGUU
Molecule: long non-coding RNA, 543 nt
Filed under: Phoenix dactylifera (date palm)
Lineage: Eukaryota; Viridiplantae; Streptophyta; Magnoliopsida; Arecales; Arecaceae
Description: long non-coding RNA (PDAC_LNC009395)
Source: RNAcentral